This 253-nucleotide ribosomal RNA is filed under the name uncultured bacterium. RNAcentral describes it as "partial 16S ribosomal RNA". It matches the Rfam family "Bacterial small subunit ribosomal RNA", at positions 524 to 776 of the family's 1533-position model. The record is from RNAcentral.
UACGUAGGGACCAAGCGUUGUUCGGAUUUACUGGGCGUAAAGGGCGCGUAGGCGGCGUGGUAAGUCACUUGUGAAAUCUCUGAGCUUAACUCAGAACUGCCAAGUGAUACUGCUGUGCUCGAGUGUGGAAGGGGCAAUCGGAAUUCUUGGUGUAGCGGUGAAAUGCGUAGAUAUCAAGAGGAACACCUGAGGUGAAGACGGGUUGCUGGGCCAACACUGACGCUGAGGCGCGAAAGCCAGGGGAGCAAACAGG